AACCUGGUUGAUCCUGCCAGUAGUCAUAUGCUUGUCUCAAAGAUUAAGCCAUGCAUGUCUAAGUAUAAAUGGUAUACAAUGAAACUGCGAAUGGCUCAUUAAAACAGUUAUAGUUUAUUUGGUAAUCAAACUUACAUGGAUAACCGUGGUAAUUCUAGAGCUAAUACAUGCUGUUGUGCCCGACUCACGAAGGGCCGUAUUUAUUAGAUAUCAGCCAAUAAGCAUCUGCUAUUGUGGUGACUCAUAGUAACUUAAUCGGAUCGCAUGGGCUUGUCCCGCGACAAACCAUUCAAGUUUCUGCCCCAUCAUGCUUUCGAUGGUAGUGUAUUGGACUACCAUGGCUUUCACGGGUAACGGAGGAUUAGGGUUCGAUUCCGGAGAGGGAGCCUGAGAAACGGCUACCACUUCCACGGAAGGCAGCAGGCGCGUAAAUUACCCAAUCCUGAUUCAGGGAGGUAGUGACAAGAAAUAAUGGGUCGGGGUUCUGCCCCGGGACUGCAAUGAGACGAAUUUAGACCCCUUAUCGAGGACCAAUUGGAGGGCAAGUCUGGUGCCAGCAGCCGCGGUAAUUCCAGCUCCAAUAGCGUAUAUUAAAGUUGUUGCAGUUAAAAAGCUCGUAGUUGGAUUUCUGGUAGUGGGCAAGAGCUCUCUGAUGAUGCUCGCGUUCAUUGCCAUCCUUCUGUUAACCUAUCAGGGCAUUCUAUUGUCAGUUAGGGGCUCAGAUAUUUUACCUUGAGAAAAUUAGAGUGUUUCAGGCAGGCUUGUGCCCGAAUACAUUAGCAUGGAAUAAUGGAAUAGGACUUUAGCCUCUUCUGUUGGUCUGAGGGGUUGAAGUAAUGAUUAAUAGGGAUAGUUGGGGGCAUUAGUACUUAACUGUCAGAGGUGAAAUUCUCGGAUUUGUUAAAGACUAACUUAUGCGAAAGCAUUUGCCAAGGAUGUUUUCAUUAAUCAAGAACGAAAGUUAGGGGAUCAAAGACGAUCAGAUACCGUCCUAGUCUUAACCAUAAACUAUGCCGACUCGGGAUCGGGGGCCAGAGAUAACUGCCUUCGGCACCGUAUGAGAAAUCAAAGUCUUUGGGUUCUGGGGGGAGUAUGGUCGCAAGGCUGAAACUUAAAGGAAUUGACGGAAGGGCACCACCAGGCGCGGAGCUUGCGGCUCAAUUUGACUCAACACGGGGAAACUUACCAGGUCCAGACAUAGUGAGGAUUGACAGAUUGAUAGCUCUUUCUUGAUUCUGUGGGUGGUGGUGCAUGGCCGUUCUUAGUUGGUGGAGUGAUUUGUCUGGUUAAUUCCGUUAACGAACGAGACCUUAGCCUACUAAAUAGUCGCAACAAUUUCGAUUGGCUGCGACUUCUUAGAGGGACUUUGCAAGCAACUGCAAGGAAGUUUGAGGCAAUAACAGGUCUGUGAUGCCCUUAGAUGUCCUGGGCCGCACGCGUGCUACACUGACGCAUACAGCGAGCAUCACCAGCUCCGUGAGGCUGCUGGUAAUCAGCAAUAUGCGUCGUGCUGGGGAUAGAUCUUUGGAAUUUUUGAUCUUGAGCGAGGAAUGCCUAGUAAGCGCAGGUCAUCAGCCUGCGUUGAUUAAGUCCCUGCCCUUUGUACACACCGCCCGUCGCUCCUACCGAUUUCGAGUGGUCCGGUGAACCCUUUGGACCGAGAACGCCUCGUGUGCUUUUGGAAAGUCGAGUAAACCACAUCACUUAGAGGAAGGACAAGUCGUAACAAGGUUUCCGUAGGUGAACCUGCAGAAGGAUCA
This 1760-nucleotide ribosomal RNA is filed under the name Stenosemella ventricosa. Its description in RNAcentral is "SSU rRNA". It matches the Rfam family "Eukaryotic small subunit ribosomal RNA". Lineage: Eukaryota; Ciliophora; Spirotrichea; Tintinnida; Codonellopsidae. The record is from RNAcentral.